AGACACCUGAACAGUUUGCCAGUGAAUCAGGGACUGUGUUCACUGAGAAAAGGAGGAUAAAGCUGACAUCUCUUGAUGACCUCAAGCAUUACUGGGUCAUCCGUCAUCGGAAAUUUGCAGAUAUAGCUGCAGAAAUGUGCGAUCUGCUGAUGUUUGUCGAGAUGCUGAAAGGAAUGCUUGCGCUUGAUCCUGAAAAACGGAUGACACCCAGUCAAGUGCUGGAGCAUGACUUCACAAAAAUGGUGCACAUAACGUGCUUGUACCACUACAGCUCCCAUGUAAAAUCCUGCUUUCAGAAGAUGGCCAUCUGUCAGAUGGUGACUUCAAAUAGUCGUGCAGCUUUGUGUGGGUCUUUGCAGCAAACCUGCUCCCGAACUAGCCAACCUGCCCGGCAAUGUCCUCCUCGCCCUCCA
This is a long non-coding RNA of Archocentrus centrarchus (flier cichlid), 413 nucleotides long. RefSeq lists it as uncharacterized. NCBI's taxonomy places the organism in Eukaryota, Metazoa, Chordata, Actinopteri, Cichliformes, Cichlidae. The record is from RefSeq and is a predicted model, not a curated record. The transcript has 3 exons.